This is a non-coding RNA of Mauremys mutica (yellowpond turtle), 369 nucleotides long. NCBI's taxonomy places the organism in Eukaryota, Metazoa, Chordata, Testudines, Geoemydidae. The record is from the annotation of a RefSeq genome assembly.
AUGGAGAAGGUUGUUCUGACCCAGUCGGGUCCCGAAGUGAAGCAGCCCGGAGAAUCCACUCAGUUGAAAUGCGCCGUGAGCGGGUUUGUUCCUAACGACUGGUGGAUGGACUGGGUCAGGCAGCAGCCGGGAAAGGGACUGGAGUGGCUGGUUCACUAUCACAAAUCUUCAGUCACGAAUUACUACUCCCCCUCCAUCCAGGGGCGCUUCACAGCCUCCAAGGACAGCGCCAACUUCUACCUGCACAUGCCCGGCCUGAAGCCCGAGGACACCGCCGUGUAUUACUGUGUGAGAGACACAAGGAGCCAGCAGAAGGUCCUCUCCAGCUCCCGAGCCCCACCUAAGCCUCCUGUAGGAUUUAUCCACUAG